CAUCUUACGUGUCAACCCAGGGAUGCAUAUAUCCAAAAUAAGAAGGGUCAAAGCUAAGAAGCAUUCUUCCCAGCUUGAUUGAAUCUAUAUGAAGUAAAAUUAGCGGUCAAUUGGCUUCCAAAAGAUUCAAAUUUUGAAUCCCAUCCAUUUCUUCAAACAAGCAAACGGUGAGAUCACUUUUAGGGUUUCUUGCUUCAUCUCCUCUUUCCAUUGCCAUUUCCUUUUUCCCAUUGCCGAUGCUUAUCUUAUCUUUUUACUUCUCUGAAAAUUGAAGCCGUCUGCAAAGAGAGUAGCUGAGAGAUAGAGAGGGAAUCCAAAAGGGAGAGAACGACAAAGAGAGAGAGAGAGAGAAAUGCGAUGGUUCUAAUGAACGGAUCUACUUUGUAUGCCUGAAAAUCGGUGACCCUUGGUGGCAACAGUGAUGCAGAAACUAUCGUAGCAGAUGGAAUCAAGACCAAAUGGCAACGGUUUUGGGUUUCUAGGGUUCUGUCCGUGCCGACGCCAUAGAAGAGUCCGAUAAUUACAAAGAAAUCGAAGGAGAGAGGUUGUAUGGCUAAAGAGCGGAUUAGCAAAUUGCCACUCUGUGACGUCGAAAAACACAGUUCUAUUCAUCAUGACCUUACUAGCCAUAGGCACAACUUCAAAUCAAGUUCUAAAUCCAAUAUCUUAUGACAUGUCAGCAUACCAAGUGGACUCCUCAGGUCCUCCUUGCUUUGUGGGACCCAUGCAAUCGCCGGACUCGGCUUAUUUAUCUUCACAAAUCGUAUGUCAAUAUCUUGAUUCUCGAUGGAGGAAGACGGCGUAAACAAUGCUUAUUGUUUUGUGAGAUAAACUCAAUAAAAGCCGAAUCUAUUGCUAAAGGUAAAGUUAUCAUUAGGGUAAUUGUGUAAACAAAUGGUUAUGAUUUAUGAGGACAUCAACAAAAUAGAAGCUGACUCUAUUGUCGCCGGAUAAAUUGAUUUAUAUGCAACCAUUAAUCUAAUUUGACGUUUUUUGUCCUUCUUUUUACUUCGCGCGCUGGUAAAGUUAUCAUAAGAUACAUUAUUUAGUCAUAGAAAAUCAUCUCCACUAUUGUAAAAGUAUGAAUAUUAAGUAUUAUUAACAAUCAUGUAUUAUAAAAAAACUUGGAACAUUACCAAUCUUGCUUAACUAUACUACAGUAUAGUAUUGGUUACUGGUUAUUGUUUAACAUGUACCUUUAACGUUAAUAAUUUUUACCCUUUUUGGUUGGGAUUGUUUGUUGUCGCCGAUAUGAUCAAUGUAGGAAUUCGCAGAUGAUCUGACUACAAAUAAACCAUUGGAAGCGUUUUUCAGGUUAGUUAAAGAGUUGUUGUCAAGAAGGCAAAAUCAUAAGUAGGCGACGUUGAAUAUCAACAAAAAUCUAUUGUAAUUAUACAUGUAGUGGCCGUAAUAUUUUGUAAUAGGUACAAAAUUCCCAAGGCAUGCGCGACGUGAAAAGUUUGUAACACACAUCCGUUAUAUUUUUUUAAUGAUUCA
Long non-coding RNA from Helianthus annuus (common sunflower), 1497 nucleotides. RefSeq lists it as uncharacterized. The record is from RefSeq and is a predicted model, not a curated record. The transcript has 5 exons. NCBI's taxonomy places the organism in Eukaryota, Viridiplantae, Streptophyta, Magnoliopsida, Asterales, Asteraceae.